UACGGAGGGUGCAAGCGUUGUUCGGAUUUACUGGGCGUAAAGCGCGCGCAGGUGGGUGAACAAGUCGGAAGUGAAAUCUUGAGGCUCAACCUCGAGGCUGCUCCCGAAACUGUUCGCCUAGGGACUGGUAGAGGCUGGUAGAAUUCCCGGUGUAGCGGUGGAAUGCGUAGGAGAUCGGGAAGAAUACCCGUGGCGGAAAGGCGGCCCAGCUGGGC
This 215-nucleotide ribosomal RNA is filed under the name uncultured bacterium. RNAcentral describes it as "partial 16S ribosomal RNA". It matches the Rfam family "Bacterial small subunit ribosomal RNA", at positions 524 to 734 of the family's 1533-position model. The record is from RNAcentral.